CGCCUUUCUCCCUUAUCCUUUAUCCUGUGUCCUCUCUCUCUCUCUCCCUUAUCUCCUCCGCGCCGCACUCCCACCUCUACACGAUGGACUGCAUCUCCCACCUCCCUCUCCUCCAUGGCGUCUCCCCUCCCCUUCCCCACUCCUGAGUUCUCCUCCUCCGUGCGCCAUGGCCGCGCCUCGCUGCCCCAUGGACGGGCCGGAUCCGGAUCCGGCCAUCCUCUGCCCCACGCUGCCAGGGCCCGCCGCCGCCAGAUCCGCCCGCCAUCAGCCUCGGGCUGCCGGAUCCGGCCGCCCCUACUGCCGCUGCUCUAGAUGAGGAGCUCGCCUCCAUGGACAAGGAUUUGGUGCGGGUCGCCGGAGUUGGCAUCGCCGGGAGCCGCGAUGGAGUCGCUUGCUGCGGCAGUGGGUUGCGGGCUUGGUGCGGGCCUGGGGGCCCGUUCCUAGAUGAUUUAUUGUUUCAUCUUGAUCUGGUGUAUCUAGAUGAUUUGUUGAUUCACUGAUUUGUGAUCUGUUGAUUAAUCGAUGAUAAAAAUAUGCAGCCCUAUGUUUUUGCUUC
Molecule: long non-coding RNA, 556 nt
Organism: Brachypodium distachyon (stiff brome)
Lineage: Eukaryota; Viridiplantae; Streptophyta; Magnoliopsida; Poales; Poaceae
Exons: 2
Source: RefSeq, a predicted model, not a curated record